GAUGAACGCUGGCGGCGUGCCUAAUACAUGCAAGUCGAGCGAACAGACGAGGAGCUUGCUCCUCUGACGUUAGCGGCGGACGGGUGAGUAACACGUGGAUAACCUACCUAUAAGACUGGGAUAACUUCGAGAAACCGGAGCUAAUACCGGAUAAUAUAUUGAACCGCAUGGUUCAAUAGUGAAAGACGGUUUUGCUGUCACUUAUAGAUGGAUCCGCGCCGCAUUAGCUAGUUGGUAAGGUAACGGCUUACCAAGGCAACGAUGCGUAGCCGACCUGAGAGGGUGAUCGGCCACACUGGAACUGAGACACGGUCCAGACUCCUACGGGAGGCAGCAGUAGGGAAUCUUCCGCAAUGGGCGAAAGCCUGACGGAGCAACGCCGCGUGAGUGAUGAAGGUCUUCGGAUCGUAAAACUCUGUUAUUAGGGAAGAACAAAUGUGUAAGUAACUAUGCACGUCCUGACGGUACCUAAUCAGAAAGCCACGGCUAACUACGUG
RNAcentral lists this ribosomal RNA (497 nucleotides) under uncultured bacterium. Its description in RNAcentral is "partial 16S ribosomal RNA". It matches the Rfam family "Bacterial small subunit ribosomal RNA", at positions 28 to 507 of the family's 1533-position model. The record is from RNAcentral.